This 6049-nucleotide long non-coding RNA is filed under the name Sus scrofa (pig). RNAcentral's name for it is "lncRNA (ENSSSCG00000059134.1)". Lineage: Eukaryota; Metazoa; Chordata; Mammalia; Artiodactyla; Suidae. The record is from RNAcentral.
AAGCACAUUUAACAGUGUUAAUGUUUGGGGUCUGGAGCCUAGGCCUCAGGAGUCCUUUCAGCCUCUGUCUUCCCCCACUUGGAAUCCUGCCCUGAGACUUCCAUGAACAGAAGCUGGUUCAGCCUCCAUGAGGAUAAAAAGCCUUGUGGAGGGAAACCAAGGUGCCCCAGACAACGGCCAGCAACAACUGCCAGGGUCUCAGGCCAAUGGACCAGUAGCCUGUGAUUCUGAUGAGCGCUCUGAAAACAGGUGAAAACUGUUCAUCCCUUCUUUGGCGUCCUCAUCACAGGUGGUAGAAUUGAACUGCUCCUAGCAGAACCUGGGAAGAAAUACCUCGAGUCAGUUUGUUUUCUGAGUUCUGCCACGGUUAACGGACUUCCUGUGCAGGAGAUGCAGCUGUAGCCUGGCCACAGAAACAGAAGCAUACAGUUUCCACCUCUGACAAUGAAAGCUGGGCCUCGUGAGAGCUGGGAAAACCUGGGUCUGAAUCUUCCCACUUAGCUCGAAGCUCCUGUCUGGACCACAGCAGCCAAUUCUCACAACAUACAGUAGGAUCACGGCGUGAAGAGAUGCUGAAGAUGAACAGCAGGGAUCUCUUGGGAAAAAAUAUAUCUUCAAACAAGGGAGAUCCAGAAAAGCUUUUGUCUUCCAGGCUAGACUAUAGCCUUCUAUGGCCAAGAUGGAAACAGGCUGCAAUGUGGAUAUGAUGGCUGGAGCUGAAGCAGCCAUCCUGUGACCCUGAGAAUGGAAGCCAUUUAUUAAGGCUGAGGAGCUGACCUAAGAGCUCUGAAUGCCUACUUCUAGACUUUCUUUUAGAAAGAGAAACAAAUACUUAUGUAUUUAAGACAUCUUUUUCUUGGGGGUGAGGGAGUAACCUAAUCCUGAUAUGAUUGGUCUUUUUUUUUUUUUGGAAUGAUUGACUAUGGGAAUUUCUCCUUUCUUAAGGAGUAAUACCAACCCCCACCACUAGGGGGUGAUGUUGCUCUAUAUGCUGCAACGUGACAGUUACAUUAUUACAGAGGUCCAAACUCAGUAUAUUCUGUAUAAUUUAGUUUAAAUAACAGUGUGAGUGAGACAGCUAUGGCCCAGUAUGUUUGGGCUGAGCUUUGAUGAACUCCAUCAAAUUCCUCUAGCAUGAGAUCUGGAUUUCAAGUUUUUCUUGUUUUUUCAACUCUAGACCCUCAGCUUCUGCAAGCAAGCCCCCAAACCAAAGAAAGUAUACAUAGAGGAAGCUCAGAUUAAGGCAAAAAACAGUUUGUAUUUGUAUUUCCAAACGGAACAGUGAGCUUCCAGUUCAAAUGGCAUUGAAGUUAAUGGUAACUGCACUUUCUAAUAAGAAGCACUGGGUUGGAGUUUCCUUGUGGCUCAGCAGGUUAAGAACCUGGCAUAGUCUCCAUGAGGCUGCGGGUUCUAUCCCUGGCCUUGCUCAGUGGGUUAAGGAUCCAGCGAUGCUGUGAACUGUGGUGCAGGUUGCAGAUGUGCCUCGGAUCUGGUGUUGCUGUGGCUGUGGUGUAGGCCUGCAGCUGCAGCUCCGAUUCAACCCCUAGCCUGGGAACUUCCAUAUGCUGCAGGCACGGCCAUGAAAAGAAAAAAAGAGGAAGUAGCAGCAGCAGUGGGUCAACACUGGCUUUAUGUUUGUGUAAAUAAAGAUCCCUGUCUGGGAGGUCUAAUGAAGGUUCUGCUAUGAAAGGAUUUAUUGAAAUUUUCACUUCCUCAAGGUAGAAAAUCACUUGAAGUACUUAAGUGACUUUUUCCAGUUUAUACUCAUCAAAGUUUCAAAAAUCUCCAGGCUGGGAGUUUCAGUCAUUAAAAAUCUGAUGUGAUGGGAGCAAUUUAUCUAGCUCUCACUCUGGCUCAGGGCAGGUUGCUUUCUCAAAAUGAAAGUACAGUACCAGUGCUGUAAAAAAACAAAACAAAAAAAGCCCCACGCAAAACUAACCAACAAAGGAACCUGUGGUUGUAAAAAAUCUUCUUUUGACAGUUUCAGAUCACAUUGCCUUGGUAUCAUCUGUGCCCUCCUUGUCUACCUUUCGUUUAUACCCCAACACUGUGGAGUUAAGUAGAGUUUGGGGGGGGGGCUUCAUAGCAAACUAAUAAUCCUGGAUUUCUCUUCUCAGUUUCCUUACUAAAGUGGCAUGUUGGGUAUAACCAAAACUCCCUGUGGAAUGGAGAAAUAGUCACUUUUCUUUCUCCUCUUAAAGAUAACACUGGAAGUUUUCAUAUGUGAUAAAAUCGGUAGCCUCCAAGUAGGUGAAAGGCCCCUAAUUAACUGCCCACAGGCAGGGAAUUAGGUAUCCGCUUCCUCAGGGGGGGUCCCUUGAGGGUGGGGCUUCACGAACGCAAACACAAGAUGCCCAGUUAAACUGGAAGCAUUUUUGGUAAUUUUUGAGAUACUCUUAUACUAAAUAGUUACUCACUGUUUAUCUGCAACUCCAAGUUACUAGCGUGUCAUGGAUUUUAUCUGAUAACUCUGUGGGGGUGGGGUGGAGGGAAGGCAGAAAAAAAAAAAAAAAAAAAAAAAAAAGCAGAUUCUGGGAUCCCUCAAGGGGACUGCCCCGGGGAAAGUCACUGACGAAAAACAAAACAGCCACAAACCACUGUGGGCAGGUGUUCCAGGGUAAUUCAUGCCUUCUUCUUAUGUGUGUUGGCAGUAGCUCGGAUGUCUUCCCUCUCUGGGUGUAUUAAGAGCUCAGUUAGGGAUGCUGAUCACCUGGCUCAUCAAUGUCCACUGAGGAAUAGAUGGGAGGGACCUCCUCAAGCCCCAAGCUUUUGGGAUUGUGGGUUCUGUCCUUUCAGACAUAUAUCUGUGUGGGGCUGGGAUGCUGGGUGUCCUCUUCUUAGAGACACAGCAAUCCGUCAUUGCCUUGAGGUCCAGAGUCCCCAGUUGUCCUUUAGAAGGCAGCUUGUCCAAAUGGCAGAAUAAGAAAAAGAUUUGGUUUGACGCCCUUCUUGAGUUUAUGUGCUCUGGAGUACCCCUUCUACCAGCCCUGCCCAACAUCUAUUUUCCAAAUGCCUGGCUUAGUCAGAGUCUAAUCAGAAUCCAUUGAAUAAAGAGAAUACGCACCAUCUCCUCUGACUCUAGAAACGAUACACGUGGGCAGUGUUCCAUUUUCUGCCUUUUUAGUCUCCAUUCCAGGCUUCGUACAAAUACACACACAUGAAACAUACUGAACUACGAGUCACUUUCAGGGUGACAUCGCAGGUAAGGAGUCCUUCUUUCAUUUGAAUUCCCUUCUGACAUUGAUUCCUGUGUUCAGUAAAGUGAAAGGUCUCACCAGCUCUGGGUUUCUUGCUUUUUGGCAGGGAGAUACCUGAAGACUUGGCCUCCCUCUAGAAUAAGCACCCCCCCCCCACUGUCCUCUCCCACUGCUGACUCAAUUCACUUGCCCUCAGGUCUUAGCCCUCCCAGGGAAGCUUCUUCCUUAUAUCUCAUCUAAAUCUUUACCCAUCUUCUCUAGGGAAAAAAACCUACCUUUAUCUUCAGUAUGAGAUAUCAUCCCUCCUUCCCACGUCAAGAUCCCAGGUCUGUUUUUCAGUCUGAUGUAGCCCCACUGGAUGCUCAGAGAUGUUUAUGGACAUCAAAAUCUUUUUUUUUUUUUUUAACUCCCAUCAUAACGGGUAACUGUGGAUCUCUCUGGUCACAAUGUGGCUUCAUUUCCCAGUAUGAGCUGCAGGCACACCAGCCCUUUGAAUCAUGGACUGGUUAAACUGGGCACGUAUACUAUCUCAGGGAGGAGGUGGUCAGAACCCUCAUUGAGAGAGAUCUAUUUUCUCACUGGCCAGGCAGCCUAGCCCCAUUAUUGUUCAGAAAGCUUUUCCACCUUUCCGCAGUGUGGAGAGAGGAGCUAGGUUACCCGUUAACGAAUGCUCCCUUGAAAAGGCCAGGAAGAACUCUAGACUGGAUUAAAUUAUUUAGGUUCAACCCGUCUCCCCUGGGGAAAAGGGAAUGUAGGGGUGAGUUUGGUUGGCAGUUCUUAUUAUAUGGAUGUUUGCUGGGACGUAAUUUGGACCCUCAUUUCCUUUAGAUAGCCUUCCUGAUUUUGGUCCUCUCUAAAUUAUGCAUGAAGUUGCUUUUACAGCAGGAUACUGUGAGAUUAGCUGCUCAGAGAUAAUGUUAUUAUUUCCACCUUAUGUUAUUUUUUAUCACAACUCCUAGAAUCCAGUUCUACCAUCUUCUUAUGUCUCUUUGUUCCUUCUGGAAUGCUUUGCUCUGACUCCUGUUUCCCAGGUACCACCGGUUCCUGCCUUACAUCUGGCUUUCUUGGACUUCCAGAUCUUGGCACAUACUCCUGGUCUGGAAUAAUCGUUUUUUCAUCCCUCUUGCAUCUGACCUACUCACACUUGUCUUUCCUGUCUCAGAGUAGCCGCACCGACUUCCUUAGAUGGGCUUCUUAAACUUUGGUAUGCCAAAGUAUCAUCUGGAGAUCUUUUUUAAAAGAUAAUUUCUUUUUUUCAUCUCUAUCCUCCUCCACCUAAUUCUGAUUCAGUAGGCCUGGGAUGAGAGUAAUUUAGACAAGUGUGCAGGUCAUUCUAAGUAGAGGUCUGCAGACCAGUCAGUCACAUUGGGGACUGCUGCCUCUGACUCUGUGGUCCUAGAGCCCACCAUAUGGACCCUAUUAAAACAGGUUACUCUCAGAGUUCCCACUGUGGUGCUAUGGGAUUGGCGGCAUCUCUGCAGCAUUAGGAUGCAGGUUUGAUCCCUGGCCUGUCAUAAUGGGUUUAAAGGAUCCUGUGUUACUACAGCUGUGGCACAGGUCGCAAAUGGGGCUCAGAUCUGAUCCCUGCCUGGGAACUCCAUAUGCCCCAUGGCAGCCAACACAAAACAAAACAAAAAACAGGUGACUGUUAUUACCCCCUUAGUGUCUGUCCUCCCUGAUAGCUGAAAACAGCCAAGGCAGAUUGUGUGUCUGUUUCAUUUGCUGCUGUUAUCUUCAUCAGUUAGCAUAGGGCUACAUUAAGCACCUGGUAUGCACUUAAUAAAUGUAGUAUUUCUGAGAAGGAGGUGGGAGAAAUCAGGAAGUCAUCGCCUGCUGAGAAUCUUCAAUACGUGAGCACAUGGCUUCCAAGGCAUUUUUCAAAGAGAAGUCCAGAAUGGAGUGAAUGGAAUGGCCUUUGGAAGAAAGAUCUAGACAAUUCCAGUGGUAAUUUCACAUGUUGUUAUUUGCAUGAUUUCUGUUCUCUUUGAGGGGAAUAAAAUCUAUGAGACAGUAUUUUCAGUUAUGUCUGAUAAGGAAGCUUUGCAAACAUCUGUUCAGCCAGAGUGAUGGACAUAAGCAGAUAAUAAGCCAGGCAAAUUCACUCCCUUUCCAUACUGGGCAUCCAUUGCAUGGAAGGCAUGGUUAUAGAAUAACAUUUGGGCAGAGGACAGGCUCUAGAGUUAGAUGGACUUAGAAGCUCAGCUCUUCUACUUCCCAGCUCUGUGACCUUGGGCAAGUGUAGCUUUCUAAGCCUCAGUUUCCUUAUCUAUAGAUGAGGAUAAAAUUGUACCCAUGGGCGUAAAAGUUUACAGCCCAGACUACAUGGGUUUGAAUUCUGGUUCUUCCACUUACCAGCUGUAUGACUUUGGGCAAAUUAUUUAACCCUUUAUAUGCUUCAAUUUUCUUAUUAUAAAAUUAAUUCAAAGAUUAUUAUAUUAGUUAAGCUAUGUUAAAUUGCUGUUUUUAUAGUUCAAAACAGUUUAAUAUCAAAUGAUUCAAAUUAAUACCUACCUCAUAAGCUUAGGGAGAAAAUUCUGGAGUUCCCAUCACGGCUCAGUGGAAAUGAAUCCACCUAGUAUCCAUGAGGAUGCAGGUUUGAUCCCUGGCCUCAUUCACUGGGUUAAGGAUAUGCUGUUGCCGUGAGCUAUGGUGUAGACUGCAGACUUGACUUGGAUCUAGCUUUGCUGUGUCUGUGGUGUAAGCCAGCAGGUACAGCUCUGAUUCGACCCCUAGCCUGGAAAGAAAGAAAAUUCAAUGAGUUCCCUGGUGGCCUAGUGGUUAAGGGUUUGGCAUUGUCACUGCUGUGGCACGGAUUCAGUCCCUGGCCUGGAACUUCCACAUGCCACGGGUGU